RNAcentral lists this ribosomal RNA (496 nucleotides) under uncultured bacterium. RNAcentral's name for it is "partial 16S ribosomal RNA". It matches the Rfam family "Bacterial small subunit ribosomal RNA", at positions 29 to 507 of the family's 1533-position model. The record is from RNAcentral.
AUGCACGCUGGCGGCGUGCCUAAUACCUGCAAGUCGAGCGAACGGACGAGAAGCUUGCUUCUCUGAUGUUAGCGGCGGACGGGUGAGUAACACGUGGAUAACCUACCUAUAAGACUGGGAUAACUUCGGGAAACCGGAGCUAAUACCGGAUGAUAUUUUGAACCGCAUGGUUCAAAAGUGAAAGACGGUCUUGCUGUCACUUAUAGAUGGAUCCGCGCUGCAUUAGCUAGUUGGUAAGGUAACGGCUUACCAAGGCAACGAUGCAUAGCCGACCUGAGAGGGUGAUCGGCCACACUGGAACUGAGACACGGUCCAGACUCCUACGGGAGGCAGCAGUAGGGAAUCUUCCGCAAUGGGCGAAAGCCUGACGGAGCAACGCCGCGUGAGUGAUGAAGGUCUUCGGAUCGUAAAACUCUGUUAUUAGGGAAGAACAUAUGUGUAAGUAACUGUGCACAUCUUGACGGUACCUAAUCAGAAAGCCACGGCUAACUACGUG